RNAcentral lists this transfer RNA (75 nucleotides) under Nonomuraea aridisoli. RNAcentral's name for it is "Nonomuraea sp. KC333 tRNA-Arg". It matches the Rfam family "tRNA". From Rfam's summary of the family: Transfer RNA (tRNA) molecules are approximately 80 nucleotides in length. The record is from RNAcentral. Lineage: Bacteria; Bacillati; Actinomycetota; Actinomycetes; Streptosporangiales; Streptosporangiaceae.
GCCCCCUUAGCUCAGGGGAUAGAGCACCGGCCUCCGGAGCCGGGCGCGCAGGUUCGAAUCCUGCAGGGGGCACCG